UCGGCCUCAGAUUGGUAGGACUACCCGCUGAACUUAAGCAUAUCAAUAAGCGGAGGAAAAGAAACUAACAAGGAUUCCCCUAGUAACGGCGAGUGAAGAGGGAAGAGCCCAAGAUUGAAAGCUGGCGUCUUUGGCGUCCGCAUUGUAAUCUCAAGAAGUGUUUUCCGCUUCGGACCAUGCCUAAGUCCCUUGGAAAAGGGCAUCAUAGAGGGUGAUAAUCCCGUACAUGGCAUGGAGCGCCCGAAGCUUUGUGAUACACUUUCUAAGAGUCGAGUUGUUUGGGAAUGCAGCUCAAAAUGGGUGGUAAAUGCCAUCUAAGGCUAAAUAUUGGGGAGAGACCGAUAGCGAACAAGUACAGUGAUGGAAAGAUGAAAAGAACUUUGAAAAGAGAGUUAAACAGUACGUGAAAUUGCCAAAAGGGAAGGGUAGGAGGUCAGAGAUGCGGUCUGGGAUUCAGCCUUGCUUUUGCUGGGUGUUUUUCUCAGAUUGCAGGCCAACGUCGGUUUUGGGCGCUGGAGAAGGGUGGAAGGAAUGUGGCACCUCUCGGGGUGUGUUAUAGCCUUCUACUGGAUACAGUGACCGAGACCGAGGACAGCAGCGUACUCGCAAGAGCGGGCCUUCGGGCACCUUUACGCUUAGGGCGUUGGCAUAAUGGCCCUCUACCACCCGUCUUGAAACACGGACCAAGGAGUCUAACAUGUAUGCGAGUCUUUGGGUGGCAAACCCAUAGGCGCAAUGAAAGUGAAUUCAGGUGGGAUCCGCAAGGUGCACCAUCGACCGAUCCUCACGUCUUUUUUAAGUCGUGGAUUUGAGUAAGAGCAUACCUGUUGGGACCCGAAAGAUGGUGAACUAUGCCUGAAUAGGGUGAAGCCAGAGGAAACUCUGGUGGAGGCUCGUAGCGGUUCUGACGUGCAAAUCGAUCGUCAAAUUUGGGUAUAGGGGCGAAAGACUAAUCGAACCAUCUAGUAGCUGGUUCCUGCC
This 981-nucleotide ribosomal RNA is filed under the name Pseudozyma sp. BRTEA. RNAcentral describes it as "LSU rRNA". It matches the Rfam family "Eukaryotic large subunit ribosomal RNA", at positions 1 to 962 of the family's 3401-position model. Lineage: Eukaryota; Fungi; Basidiomycota; Ustilaginomycetes; Ustilaginales; Ustilaginaceae. The record is from RNAcentral. RNAcentral also lists the same sequence under 5 other names.